This 484-nucleotide ribosomal RNA is filed under the name uncultured bacterium. RNAcentral describes it as "partial 16S ribosomal RNA". It matches the Rfam family "Bacterial small subunit ribosomal RNA", at positions 30 to 507 of the family's 1533-position model. The record is from RNAcentral.
AUUGAACGCUGGCGGCAGGCCUAACACAUGCAAGUCGAGCGGAUGAAGGGAGCUUUCUCCUGGAUUCAGCGGCGGACGGGUGUGUAAUUCCUAGGAAUCUGCCUGGUAGUGGGGUAUUACGUCCUGAAACGGGCGCUAAUACCGCAUACGUCCUUAGGUAGAAAGUUGGGGAUCUUCGGACCUCACGCUAUCAGAUGAGCCUAGGUGGGAUUAGCUAGUUGGUGGGGUAAAGGCCUACCAAGGCGACGAUCCGUAACUGUUCUGAGAGGAUGAUCAGUCACACUGGAACUGAGACACGGUCAAGACGCCUAGGGGAGGCAGCAGUGGGGAAUAUUGGACAAUGGGCGAAAGCCUGAUCCAGCAAUGCCGCGUGUGUGAAGAAGGUCUUCGGAUUGUAAAGCACUUUAAGUUGGGAGGAAGGGAAGUAAGUUAAUACCUUGCUGUUUUGACGUUACCAACAGAAUAAGCACCGGCUAACUUCGUG